This is a non-coding RNA of Myotis brandtii (Brandt's bat), 74 nucleotides long. Lineage: Eukaryota; Metazoa; Chordata; Mammalia; Chiroptera; Vespertilionidae. The record is from Rfam.
UCAGGAGUGGGGGGGUCACUCAGCCCAGAUUGUGAGAGAGCGCAGGCCAGGCUGAGGGACCCCACCGGUGCACA